This 155-nucleotide ribosomal RNA is filed under the name Cuphea angustifolia. RNAcentral's name for it is "5.8S ribosomal RNA". It matches the Rfam family "5.8S ribosomal RNA". Rfam says of the family: 5.8S ribosomal RNA (5.8S rRNA) is a component of the large subunit of the eukaryotic ribosome. It is transcribed by RNA polymerase I as part of the 45S precursor that also contains 18S and 28S rRNA. Functionally, it is thought that 5.8S rRNA may be involved in ribosome translocation. The record is from RNAcentral. RNAcentral also lists the same sequence under 5 other names. Lineage: Eukaryota; Viridiplantae; Streptophyta; Magnoliopsida; Myrtales; Lythraceae.
CUCGGCAACGGAUAUCUCGGCUCUCGCAUCGAUGAAGAACGUAGCGAAAUGCGAUACUUGGUGUGAAUUGCAGAAUCCCGUGAACCAUCGAGUCUUUGAACGCAAGUUGCGCCCGACGCCAUUCGGCCGAGGGCACGUCUGCCUGGGUGUCACGC